Dermochelys coriacea (leatherback sea turtle) is the source of this 740-nucleotide long non-coding RNA. RefSeq lists it as uncharacterized. The record is from RefSeq and is a predicted model, not a curated record. Lineage: Eukaryota; Metazoa; Chordata; Testudines; Dermochelyidae. The transcript is spliced from 3 exons.
CCAGAUAUUGUUAAAGAAGGGAAACGAUAACACCGCAGUCUGAGGGCAUUAUCUGUGCAUGUGCAAGACUCAGCUCAAGGAGAGUAAAAAGCAUCUGAUCUCUGUGCUAUAUUCACCACACCUGACUGAUUGUCUCUUCCGCCCUCCGAGACUCGAGUUCCCUAGACACUCAGUGAGAUGACAAGCAAGCUGGAAAAAGCCUUAGAUGACAUUAUCGAAGUAUACCACAAGUACUCUGAAAAAGAGUGCAACCCGGACGAUUACCUGCAGGAGACUUAGUUCAUAUAGCUGCUCAAAAAGGAGGUCAACUCAUUUCUGAUAUGCACUUUGCCGCACGGUAUGACUGAAGAAGACUACAUAAAAGACCUGUUUAAGAAGGCCAACAAAACCAGAAAUGAAUACCUCCAUUUCGAAGAGUUUGUUACCACCUUGGCGAAAUUGGCCAUACAUGCUCACAAUACCUCACACAAGGCUGUGAAGCAGGGUGAGGGGCAAGGGCAUGGACAUGCGCAUGGCCCCAAUUAAAUUGGGCAUGAACAUAAUUCUGGCCCUGCUCCUGGAAGCUCCUCUGGGCACGGGUGUCAUGGCUGUGGCACUAGCCCCAGCGAUGACCCUAACCACCGAAAUCAGGGAGACCCUUUGAGUUAAAACAAGAUGAGAUUUUGUAAAUAUCUAAUGUAACCAGAGAAUCUUUGCCUGCUUGGGCUGAUAAUGUAGCAAUAAAACUCGCCUCCAAUGCA